This 2689-nucleotide long non-coding RNA is filed under the name Canis lupus familiaris (dog). Its description in RNAcentral is "lncRNA (ENSCAFG00040000235.1)". The record is from RNAcentral. Lineage: Eukaryota; Metazoa; Chordata; Mammalia; Carnivora; Canidae.
CCAGGGUGGUGUGGGUGGUGAGGAUGGAGUUGUAGGGCUCUAAACAGCUGUGGACACCUGGGGGGGAGGGUAGAUGGAGAGCUCUAGCUUGGACUUCUUGCCAUAAUCGACAGAGAGAUGUUCCAUCAGCAGGGAUAUUAACCCAGAACCGGUUCCCCCUCCAAAGCUGUGGAAAACCAAGAAGCCCUGAAGACCUGUGCACUGGCCAGCCAGUUCCUGAAUUUGGUCCAAGACAAGUGAGACUACUGUAUGUUCCUCAAGCUUCUCUUGAAAGAAAAGAAACUCUUCUGCAUCCUCUGGCAAGUGGCCCAUCCACCGCUCAGGAGCCCUGUGUCAGCAGAGCAUCUGCAGCUGCAUGUUUGAGGACAGCCUGCCUAGGCCUGGAGAUCACAGUGUGUCUGCUGCACAGAAGUAGAUGCCUGAGUCGCUGGACUGGGAGGCUGUGAUAUGCAGGGAACUUUGCUGCUUCUUCUCAUUUAACGUGGCAGUGGUUUUUUCAUGACUCUUUUCCCCAUUCUCCCAUAAUAUCAUCAAGGAUAUUAGACCUUCACUAUUUUUUUGCCUGUACCAGUGUAGGGCAUACACAGGCUUUGAUGAAUGGCAGUUUAUGGUGAAAUUUUCUCCUUCUUGGAUGAUCAGAGACUGUGGACUCUGCUCCAGUUCUUGGCUACUGACCCCUGUUCAAAAAGACAAUGUAAAGAAAACGCCAAGCCUAAGAUCUUCAUGCUCAUGGUAGGUAUGGUUUUUCUCACCUGCCUCUUCACUUCCCCCUGAGGCAGCAACAUUAUCCCUUCAACACAGAAUAUUGUAUUGUCUAUCUUUUCAACAUGUAUCUGGCUCUCAAAUGGGCCUCCAUGGGACAGAAGAAGACUGAAUCCCUGCCCUCAGGAAGCUGUCAUCAUCCCCUGACUCUCUACACUAACCCCAUACUUACAGGCUGCCUGCAACUCUAAUAUCCCUAUGAGAACUUGCAGGAGAGUCUCCAUCUUCUGGUUCCUCAGAAGGCAGCUGGAUCAGGAGUUCUCGAAUGAGCUUCCCCAGCACAGGUUACUUGAGCUCAGCGGGGUCUCACUGGUGCAGGGCACUGCACCAAUCUGAGAGAUCACACCUGGUUUCCUGUUCCUCCAGUGCUGCAGACCUAAACUCAAAUACUUUUUGAACACUGCCACCUUUUGGCUAGACUGAGAAAUACUGAAUAAUGGAAGGCUUCUAGAAUUAGUUUGUAUAAAUGAGGUACAUUUAUUUAUUGCAACAAGUAUGGUAUUUAUUAUCGGAUAUUGAAAAUACCCUACUAUUGCAUGCUUGAAACAGUUUCCUCUUUGUAAUUAAAAUAAAGUGAAAAAUUCUGCUCUCUAAAAUACUGGGUAAUUGUUUUUCAACAUUUAGUUCUGCCUACUUUUGAUUUGAGUCUUAUAAAACACUACUUUAUUGAGGCAUACUCAAUAUGAUGUAUAAUAAACUGCAUAUAUUUAUGAUGAACUAUUUGAUAAUUUUUGACAUGGACAUACAAAUGUGAAAUCAUGAUCAAAAUCUAGAUAAUGAGCAUAUGCACUAUCUUAGGCUCCUUUGUGGCCUACUCAGUUUUAGAAUUAUGUCCUCACAUCUAGAUCUAUGAUCUAUCUGGAAUCAAUUUUUUUAUCGGUGCGAGCUAAGGGUUAAGGUUUAUAUUUUUGAAUAUGGCUAUCAACUAUUCAAGCAUGAUUUGUUGAGAAGGUUAUUUUUUCCUCAUUGAAUUGUUAUGGUACUUUUAUUGAAAAUCAACUAAUCAAAAAAAAAAAAGAAAAUCAACUAAUCAUAUAUAGGAGUCUAUUUUUGGACAUUUUAUUGUGUUCCAAGGUUAUAUUUGUCUAUCUUUAUAUCAAUCCCAUUGUUUCUCAAAUAUUAUAUUUUCAUAAAAACAACAUCAGUACUGUUGGUUCCUCCAAUUUGUUAUUCCUUUCAAAAUGUUUUCACUAACAUAGUCCCCUUUAAUUUUCAUGCAUAUUUGAUGAUGCUUCUGUCAGUUUCUACAAAACUUUCUGCUGGGAUUUUUAUUGGCUUUAUACUGAAUCUGUAAAUCAAUUUGGAGAGAAUUAAAAUUUUAUUUUUUAAAAGAUUUAUUUAUUUAUUUGAGAGAGAGAGAGAGAGAGAGAGAGAGAAAGAGUGGGAGGGACCAAAGGAGAGGGAAAGAGAACCCCAAACUGACUCUGCACUGUGUAUAGGCCUAAAGUGGGGCUUGAUCUCACAACCCUGAGAUCAUGACCUGAACUGAAGCCAAGGGUCAGCUGCCCAACUGACUGCAUCAGCCAGGCACCCUAGAAUUAACAUUUUGACACGAGUCUUCUAAUCCACGAGCAUAAUAAUUCUAUACUAAUUUAGCUCUGAAUUUUCUCUUGGAAAUUUUUUAUAUCUUUUAUUAUUUAGAUUUUUUAAAAUAAAUCUAUUUUUUAUUGGUGUUCAAUUUACCAAAAUACAGAAUAACAUGCAGUGCUCAUCCCGUCAGGUGCCCCACUCGGUGCCCGUCACCCAGUCACCCCCACCCCCCGCCCUCCUCCCCUUCCACCACCCCUAGAUCAUUUCCCAGAGUUAGGAGUCUUUAUGUACUGUCUCCCUUUCUGAUAUUUCCCACACAUUUCUUCUCCUUUCCCUUCUAUUCCUUUUCACUAUUAUUUAUAUUCCCCAAAUGAAUGAGAACAUACACUGUUUGUCC